AUUGAAAUUUAAAGAAAAGUCGAUGGACUUAAAAUCCCUCGGGGGUAACCCCGUGCCGGUUCGACCCCGGCUCCGGGCACCA
RNAcentral lists this transfer RNA (82 nucleotides) under Pseudomonas aeruginosa. RNAcentral's name for it is "tRNA-Leu(taa)". RNAcentral also lists the same sequence under 2 other names. Lineage: Bacteria; Pseudomonadati; Pseudomonadota; Gammaproteobacteria; Pseudomonadales; Pseudomonadaceae. The record is from RNAcentral.